UUGUUUACCAAAACAGAUUUCCCUCUCUCUGGUUUAAUUCCAUCCGCCAUUGUCGAUUGCACUGUUUCAGAUCGAGAAAUUCAUCCGCCAUAUUUUCUGUCCUACGGUUGUAUCAAAGACCAAAACCCUCUACAAAACCAUUUUCUCUCUCUGUCUGCUUCAAGUUCAUCCGCCAUUUCCGAACCUCUGCAAAGUUUUCUCAAUCCACCAUAGUCCCUAUCAUUAAAAUCGUAUCCAUAGUCAAAAAUGGUGAAAAAAGCUAGUACUCCCAAAAGACAAAAAGUAGCCGAUAUUCCAUCUUUUGAUUUGGGUGUUUUACACCCUAAAUCACCAGUAAAAAAAACAACAAUCUAUCCAUGCAAGUGGAAAAGAUAGGGUUCCUACAUCGCCAAGAUAAAUCAGAGCUGAAAUGUGAACCAAGCACUUGCACGAUGUUGAUGCUACCGGUGUAGAAACAGAAGGCGACAAAUAACGCAAGCGAAAGGGUUGAGGGUCGAUGAUGAUGAUUUUGUGGAAGAUUCACCCAAACUUCAAACCACGAAAAAACAA
This 549-nucleotide long non-coding RNA is filed under the name Nicotiana benthamiana. Its description in RNAcentral is "long non-coding RNA (NBEN_LNC005687)". The record is from RNAcentral. Lineage: Eukaryota; Viridiplantae; Streptophyta; Magnoliopsida; Solanales; Solanaceae.